Acanthochromis polyacanthus (spiny chromis) is the source of this 285-nucleotide long non-coding RNA. RefSeq lists it as uncharacterized. NCBI's taxonomy places the organism in Eukaryota, Metazoa, Chordata, Actinopteri, Pomacentridae. The transcript has 2 exons. The record is from RefSeq and is a predicted model, not a curated record.
UGAGACACGUGGGUCAAGAGCUGCGCGGCGCGAAUGUUUUUCUGUAGGGGACCAUCCAGAGGGGCGGUGACAACGAUGAUGCAAGAAAAGAGCGGAUUUCUCCAUCAAUGUCCCUGCAACAGACUGGCGACCUGUCCAGGGUGUCCCCUGCCUUUGCCCGAGUCAGCUGAGAUAGGCUCCAGCCCCCCGCGACCCCAGUGAGGAUAAAGCGGUGUAUAGAGAAUGGAUGAAUGGAUAUUCUAUUAUCAUGUGUAACAUUUAAAUAUAAUUAGUAGUCAAGCUUUA